RNAcentral lists this ribosomal RNA (480 nucleotides) under uncultured bacterium. RNAcentral's name for it is "partial 16S ribosomal RNA". It matches the Rfam family "Bacterial small subunit ribosomal RNA", at positions 28 to 523 of the family's 1533-position model. The record is from RNAcentral.
GACGAACGCUGGCGGCGUGCUUAACACAUGCAAGUCGAACGAUGAAGUUCCUUCGGGAAUGGAUUAGUGGCGAACGGGUGAGGAACACGUGAGAAACCUGCCUUUCAUUUUGGGAUAACUCCGGGAAACCGGGGCUAAAACCGAAUACUCCGUCUCGGCGGCAUCGCUGAGCCGGGAAAAAAUUUUGAUGAAAGAUGGUCUCGCGGCCUAUCAGCUAGUUGGUGAGGUAAUGGCUCACCAAGACAACGACGGGUAGCCGGCCUGAGAGGGCGACCGGACACACUGGGACGGAGACAGGGCCCAGCCUCCUACGGGAGGCAGCAGUGGGGAAUAUUGGGCAAUGGGCGCAAGCCUGACCCAGCGACGCCGCGUGAGGGAUGAAGGCCUUCGGGUUGUAAACCUCUUUCAGUAGGGAAGAAGCGAAAGUGACGGUACCUAAAGAAGAAGCACCGGCUAACUAUGUGCCAGCCGCCGCCGUAA